UACAGAGGGUGCGAGCGUUGUCCGGAAUCGCUGGGCGUAAAGGGCGCGUAGGUGGUGGCUUAAGCGUGCGGUGAAAGCUCGGAGCUCAACUCCGAGUCGGCCGUGCGAACUGGGCUCACUGGAGCAUAGUAGAGGCAGGUGGAAUUCCGGGUGUAGCGGUGGAAUGCGUAGAGAUCCGGAAGAACACCGGUGGCGAAGGCGGCCUGCUGGGCUAUGGCUGACACUGAGGCGCGACAGCGUGGGGAGCAAACAGG
RNAcentral lists this ribosomal RNA (254 nucleotides) under uncultured bacterium. RNAcentral's name for it is "partial 16S ribosomal RNA". It matches the Rfam family "Bacterial small subunit ribosomal RNA", at positions 524 to 776 of the family's 1533-position model. The record is from RNAcentral.